This 136-nucleotide ribosomal RNA is filed under the name Pseudomonas atacamensis. RNAcentral describes it as "Pseudomonas sp. M7D1 partial 16S ribosomal RNA". The stretch from base 41 to 136 matches the Rfam family "Bacterial small subunit ribosomal RNA", at positions 1 to 95 of the family's 1533-position model. The record is from RNAcentral. Lineage: Bacteria; Pseudomonadati; Pseudomonadota; Gammaproteobacteria; Pseudomonadales; Pseudomonadaceae.
UGAGCCAAGUUUAGGGUUUCUUAAAAACCCAAAGAUGUUUGAACUGAAGAGUUUGAUCAUGGCUCAGAUUGAACGCUGGCGGCAGGCCUAACACAUGCAAGUCGAGCGGAUGAGAGGAGCUUGCUCCUGGAUUCAG